CAAUAGCGUAUAUUAAAGUUGUUGCGGUAAAAAAGCUCGUAGUUGGAUUUCUACCGAAGAUAGCCGGUCGGGUCUUCGACCUUGUAUCUGAUUUUGUCUUUGGUAUCCUCAUAGGGAACGUUUCUGCGCUUUAUUGCGUGGUGCGGUAUCUAUGACUUUUACUUUGAGGAAAUUAGAGUGUUCACGGCAGGCAAACGCCUUGAAUAUAUUAGCAUGGAAUAAUAACAUAGGAUCUUCGUCCUAUUUUGUUGGUUUCUAGGGCUAAGAUAAUGAUUAAUAGGGAUAAUUGGGGGCAUCUGUAUCAACGCGUCAGAGGUGGAAUUCUUGGAUUGCGUUGCGACAAACUACUGCGAAAGCAUUUGCCAAGGAUGUUUUCAUUGA
Molecule: ribosomal RNA, 381 nt
Filed under: uncultured eukaryote
Lineage: Eukaryota
Description: partial 18S ribosomal RNA
Rfam family: Eukaryotic small subunit ribosomal RNA
Source: RNAcentral